GGCAUGGCUCAGUGGCAGAGCAUCCACUUUGCAUGAAGAAGGUCUUGGGUCCAAUUCCUGGUAUCUCCA
This is a non-coding RNA of Podarcis lilfordi (Lilford's wall lizard), 69 nucleotides long. Lineage: Eukaryota; Metazoa; Chordata; Lepidosauria; Squamata; Lacertidae. The record is from the annotation of a GenBank genome assembly.